GAUGAACGCUGGCGGCGUGCCUAAUACAUGCAAGUCGAGCGAACGGACGAGAAGCUUGCUUCUCUGAUGUUAGCGGCGGACGGGUGAGUAACACGUGGAUAACCUACCUAUAAGACUGGGAUAACUUCGGAAAACCGGAGCUAAUACCGGAUAAUAUUUUGAACCGCAUGGUUCAAAAGUGAAAGACGGUCUUGCUGUCACUUAUAGAUGGAUCCGCGCUGCAUUAGCUAGUUGGUAAGGUAACGGCUUACCAAGGCAACGAUGCAUAGCCGACCUGAGAGGGUGAUCGGCCACACUGGAACUGAGACACGGUCCAGACUCCUACGUGAGGCAGCAGUAGGGAAUCUUCCGCAAUGGGCGAAAGCCUGACGGAGCAACGCCGCGUGAGUGAUGAAGGUCUUCGGAUCGUAAAACUCUGCUAUUAGGGAAGAACAUAUGUGUAAGUAACUGUGCACAUCUUGACGGUACCUAAUCAGAAAGCCACGGCUAACUACGUG
This 497-nucleotide ribosomal RNA is filed under the name uncultured bacterium. RNAcentral's name for it is "partial 16S ribosomal RNA". It matches the Rfam family "Bacterial small subunit ribosomal RNA", at positions 28 to 507 of the family's 1533-position model. The record is from RNAcentral.